RNAcentral lists this ribosomal RNA (253 nucleotides) under uncultured bacterium. Its description in RNAcentral is "partial 16S ribosomal RNA". It matches the Rfam family "Bacterial small subunit ribosomal RNA", at positions 524 to 776 of the family's 1533-position model. The record is from RNAcentral.
UACGUAGGGUGCGAGCGUUGUCCGGAAUUAUUGGGCGUAAAGAGCUUGUAGGCGGUUUGUCGCGUCUGCUGUGAAAUCUCAAGGCUCAACCUUGAGCUUGCAGUGGGUACGGGCAGACUAGAGUGUGGUAGGGGAGACUGGAAUUCCUGGUGUAGCGGUGAAAUGCGCAGAUAUCGGGAGGAACACCUAUGGCGAAGGCAGCUCGCUGGGACGUUACUGACGCUGAGACGCGAAAGCGUGGGGAGCAAACAGG